Molecule: ribosomal RNA, 971 nt
Filed under: Beauveria sp.
Lineage: Eukaryota; Fungi; Ascomycota; Sordariomycetes; Hypocreales; Cordycipitaceae
Description: SSU rRNA
Rfam family: Eukaryotic small subunit ribosomal RNA
Source: RNAcentral
CACCUUACUACUUGGAUAACCGUGGUAAUUCUAGAGCUAAUACAUGCUAAAAAUCCCGACUUCGGAAGGGAUGUAUUUAUUAGAUACAAAACCAAUGCCCUUCGGGGCUCUCUGGUGAUUCAUGAUAACUUCGCGAAUCGCACGGCCUUGUGCCGGCGAUGGUUCAUUCAAAUUUCUUCCCUAUCAACUUUCGAUGUUUGGAUAUGGGCCAAACAUGGUUGCAACGGGUAACGGAGGGUUAGGGCUCGACCCCGGAGAAGGAGCCUGAGAAACGGCUACUACAUCCAAGGAAGGCAGCAGGCGCGCAAAUUACCCAAUCCCGACUCGGGGAGGUAGUGACAAUAAAUACUGAUACAGGGCUCUAUUGGGUCUUGUAAUUGGAAUGAGUACAAUUUAAAUCCCUUAACGAGGAACAAUUGGAGGGCAAGUCUGGUGCCAGCAGCCGCGGUAAUUCCAGCUCCAAUAGCGUAUAUUAAAGUUGUUGUGGUUAAAAAGCUCGUAGUUGAACCUUGGGCCUGGCUGGCCGGUCCGCCUCACCGCGUGCACUGGUCCGGCCGGGCCUUUCCCUCUGUGGAACCCCAUGCCCUUCACUGGGUGUGGCGGGGAAACAGGACUUUUACUUUGAAAAAAUUAGAGUGCUCCAGGCAGGCCUAUGCUCGAAUACAUUAGCAUGGAAUAAUAAAAUAGGACGUGCGGUUCUAUUUUGUUGGUUUCUAGGACCGCCGUAAUGAUUAAUAGGGACAGUCGGGGGCAUCAGUAUUCAGUUGUCAGAGGUGAAAUUCUUAGAUCUACUGAAGACUAACUACUGCGAAAGCAUUUGCCAAGGAUGUUUUCAUUAAUCAGGAACGAAAGUUAGGGGAUCGAAGACGAUCAGAUACCGUCGUAGUCUUAACCAUAAACUAUGCCGACUAGGGAUCGGACGAUGUUAUUCUUUGACUCGUUCGGCACCUUACGAGAAAUCAAAGUGCUGG